AGCGGAACUCGAAAGCCUGUCUCAGUUCGGAUCGGAGUCUGCAACCCGACUCCGUGAAGCUGGAUUCGCUGUAAUCGCGCAUCAGCCAUGGCGCGGUGAAUACGUUCCCGGGCCUUGUACACACCGCCCGUCAAGCCAUGGAAGCCGGGAGUGCCUGAAGUAUGCAACCGCAAGGAGCGUCCUAAGGUAAAACCGGUGACUGGGGCUAAGUCGUAACAAGGUAUC
RNAcentral lists this ribosomal RNA (225 nucleotides) under uncultured bacterium. RNAcentral describes it as "partial 16S ribosomal RNA". It matches the Rfam family "Bacterial small subunit ribosomal RNA", at positions 1266 to 1500 of the family's 1533-position model. The record is from RNAcentral.